This is a long non-coding RNA of Astatotilapia calliptera (eastern happy), 552 nucleotides long. The record is from Ensembl. NCBI's taxonomy places the organism in Eukaryota, Metazoa, Chordata, Actinopteri, Cichliformes, Cichlidae.
GGAGGCAACUGCUGUGGUUGCAAACAGGCUUUGGGUGGUUUGGAAAUAAAUGCAGAGUUUAAGCGCAUUACCACCAUGCCACUGCAGUCCAGAUUACUCUCGCAGAUAGAUGUGCUAUCUGACAAACUAAUAAAGGUCUUCAAAAGGCGAGGAGGACAAAUAGGAAGAAGACUUCAGAACAUUCUGGAGCCCACGGCCCAGGUAAGAAAAAAAUUAAUUUGUGUAUACACUUUAGGGAAAAUAAUAAUUUUAACAAAAUGCUGCUUGUCACUCUAUGCCAGGAGUAUGUCGAAAAUCACCUGGGAUUUUCACAAUUUACCAUGGGUGCGUUUUUUUUCUUUUUCUUUUACCUGCAUUUUUCUAUGUGUGGAGUUGAUAGUUGAACACCUCUCUGUGCUCUGACCGUAUUCUGCUUCUUUGCAUGGAGAUUUCACUUCAUUACCUUUUUAAGCAUUCUGAGGACUCAAAUCACAUGCUGUAAUGAAUCCAUUUUUGUUCACCUAAUGUGUUAAUGUUAACAUUUUUUGGAAUAGUGACACAGAUUAAAAUAAG